This 1659-nucleotide ribosomal RNA is filed under the name Triticum aestivum (bread wheat). RNAcentral describes it as "partial small subunit ribosomal RNA". The record is from RNAcentral. Lineage: Eukaryota; Viridiplantae; Streptophyta; Magnoliopsida; Poales; Poaceae.
AUGGCGUCGUCGUCGCUGACCGACGCCGCCGCCACUGAUCCCCACCCGACCCCCGCCCCAAUCGCCGUCCCCAGCCCGCGGGAACCUCUGCGCACCACCUGCUCGACCGCCGCGACACGCCGCGCGGGAGGGCGACGCUCGCGAUGGACGGGACUCCGCCGCGCAAGCCGGAGGCGAAGCUGGCGGCCGGCGAGGCCGGGUACGUCCUCGAGGACGUGCCGCACGUCUCCGACUACCUCCCCGAUCUCCCGACCUACCCAAACCCACUGCAAGAUAACACAGCAUACUCGGUUGUCAAGCAAUACUUCGUUGAUCCGGAUGACACUGUCUGUCAGAAGAUUGUUGUCCACAAGGAUGGCCCAAGAGGAAACCACUUCCGUCGUGCUGGACCUCGCCAAAGGGUAUAUCACGCCGUGUUUAUGCUUACAUAGCGAUUUUUGUCUCCAUCAGGUCUAUUUUGAACCUGACGAGGUCCAUGCAUGCAUUGUCACCUGUGGAGGACUCUGCCCUGGACUUAAUACUGUGAUUAGGGAAAUUGUAUGCGGCUUAUCUGACAUGUAUGGUGUUACCAAGAUACUUGGGAUUCAGGGUGGGUAUAGAGGUUUCUACGCUCGGAAUACCAUCGACUUGACUCCAAAGAGUGUAAAUGACAUUCACAAAAGGGGCGGAACUAUUCUUGGCUCGUCACGAGGAGGCCAUGACACCAUGAAGAUUGUUGAUAGCAUUCAGUACCGUGGUAUAAAUCAGGUGUAUGUUAUUGGUGGUGAUGGUAGUCAAAGGGGUGCAGGAGUGAUUUUUGAAGAGGUCAGAAAGCGUGGUCUCAAAGUUGCUGUUGCUGGCAUUCCUAAGACUAUUGAUAAUGACAUCCCGGUAAUUGAUAAGUCCUUUGGUUUCGACAGUGCAGUCGAGGAAGCUCAACGUGCCAUAAAUGCCGCUCAUGUAGAGGCUGGAAGUGCUGACAAUGGAAUAGGCCUUGUAAAGCUAAUGGGACGAUACAGUGGUUUCAUCGCACAUUAUGCCACCCUAGCAAGCAGAGAUGUGGAUUGUUGCUUGAUUCCGGAGUCACCUUUCUAUCUGGAAGGUGAAGGUGGGCUCUUCAAAUAUAUAGAAAAGCGUCUGAAGGAGAAUGGCCAUAUGGUCAUUGUCGUUGCGGAGGGUGCAGGACAGAAACUUAUUGCCGAAAACAUGAAGGAAAUGGGGCAAGAUGCUUCUGGCAACGCACUGCUUCUUGAUGUUGGUCUUUGGUUGUCUCAGAAGAUAAAUGAGCAUUUCAAGAAAAACAAGACAACCAUAAAUCUGAAGUACAUAGAUCCUACAUACAUGAUACGCGCCAUUCCUAGCAACGCAUCGGAUAAUGUUUACUGCACAUUGCUGGCUCACAGUGUGGUCCACGGAGCCAUGGCUGGAUACACCGGUUUCACUGUCGGCCAAGUAAACGGCCGGCACUGCUACAUUCCCUUGUACAGGAUCACAGAGAAGCAGAACAAGGUCUCGAUAACUGACAGGAUGUGGGCAAGGCUUCUCUCCUCCACCAACCAGCCGAGCUUCCUCAGCAAGCAAGACGUCGACGAUGCCAAGGUCGAGGACGAGAGGACAGCCAAGCUCUUGGACGGCUCGCCUUCGAACCCCAAGGUCGAAGAUAAAGUCCGCAUCGAUUAG